Molecule: ribosomal RNA, 422 nt
Filed under: uncultured bacterium
Lineage: Bacteria
Description: partial 16S ribosomal RNA
Rfam family: Bacterial small subunit ribosomal RNA
Source: RNAcentral
AAUAUUGGACAAUGGGGGCAACCCUGAUCCAGCCAUCCCGCGUGUGCGAUGAAGGCCUUCGGGUUUUAAAGCCCUUUUGGCAGGGAAGAAAAGGCCCUGGCUAAUACCUGGAGCUGCUGACGGUACCUGCAGAAUACGCACCGGCUAACUUCGUCCCACCCGCCGCGGUAAUACGUAGGGUGCAAGCGUUAAUCGGAAUUACUGGGCGUAAAGCGUGCGCAGGCGGUUCGGCAAGAAGGAUGUGAAAUCCCAGGGCUUAACCUUGGAACUGCAUUCUUAACUGCCGGGCUAGAGUAUGUCAGAGGGGGGUAGAAUUCCGCGUGUAGCAGUGAAAUGCGUAGAGAUGCGAAGGAAUACCGAUGGCGAAGGCAGCCCCCUGGGAUAAUACUGACGCUCAUGCACGAAAGCGUGGGGAGCAAACA